This 78-nucleotide transfer RNA is filed under the name Escherichia phage JLBYU28. Its description in RNAcentral is "tRNA-Lys". It matches the Rfam family "tRNA". Rfam says of the family: Transfer RNA (tRNA) molecules are approximately 80 nucleotides in length. Their secondary structure includes four short double-helical elements and three loops (D, anti-codon, and T loops). The record is from RNAcentral. Lineage: Duplodnaviria; Heunggongvirae; Uroviricota; Caudoviricetes; Andersonviridae.
UGGAAGUGUAGCAGAAUGGUGAUGCGGCAGACUUUUAAUCUGACAGGCGAUGGGUUCGAAUCCCUCCACUUCUACUAA